CUGCGGUAAUACGUAGGGGCGAGCGUUAUUCGGAAUUACUGGGUGUAAAGGGUAUGUAGGCGGCCCUUCAAGUCGCGUGUCAAAGUCCAGUGCUCAACGCUGGGUGUGCGCGCGAUACUGACGGGCUUGAGGGCUGGAGAGGUGAGCGGAAUUCCCGGUGUAGUGGUAAAAUACGUAGAGAUCGGGAGGAACACCAGCGGCGCAGGCGGCUCACUAGACAGUUUCUGACGCUAAGAUACGAAAGCGUGGGGAGCAAACAG
This 260-nucleotide ribosomal RNA is filed under the name uncultured bacterium. Its description in RNAcentral is "partial 16S ribosomal RNA". It matches the Rfam family "Bacterial small subunit ribosomal RNA", at positions 515 to 775 of the family's 1533-position model. The record is from RNAcentral.